Molecule: ribosomal RNA, 307 nt
Filed under: uncultured Sandonidae
Lineage: Eukaryota; Cercozoa; Glissomonadida; Viridiraptoridae
Description: bacterial SSU rRNA
Rfam family: Eukaryotic small subunit ribosomal RNA (bases 95-307)
Source: RNAcentral
GAUUUCUACUUGACCGUCUUGGCCCGCCUUCUUUUUGGAGUCAGGUAUCCUUGUAGAGAGCCAAGCCUAUCCUUCACUGGAUUGGGCAUGUGCGAUCUACAUCAUUUACUUUGAAAAAAUUAGAGUGUUUAAAGCAGGCUUAUGCUGUGAAUACAUUAGCAUGGAAUAAUAAUAUAGGACUUCGGUUCUAUUUUGUUGGUUUCUAGGACUGAAGUAAUGAUUGAUAGGGAUAGUUGGGGGUGCUAGUAUUCCGCGGCCAGAGGUGAAAUUCUUGGAUUCGCGGAAGACUAACUAAUGCGAAAGCAUU